Molecule: long non-coding RNA, 357 nt
Organism: Folsomia candida
Lineage: Eukaryota; Metazoa; Arthropoda; Collembola; Entomobryomorpha; Isotomidae
Exons: 3
Source: RefSeq, a predicted model, not a curated record
UUACAGUUAACGCAGUGUAGCACCGCUUCAGCCCCAUUCAACUCUGGGUAGGCAAUGAGUAUCUGUGUGUGGCACCUUUAACAGUGCAUAAUAAUUUGUCCCUGCGUAUUUAGUCCUCUAUCUGCUCCAACUUUAUUAUCAAUCUCUGAUGAAAAACCAUUUCCGUUUUUGGUCUGCCUCUCCUGGGAACAAGUGUGAGAUAUAAUAAAUUUCAUCCACAAGGAUCCUUGCUUACUUACAACCUUAUAUAUGCGAGUAACAGAGGAUCCAUACUAACAAUAAAUUUAAAUGUUUGUGAGAAGUCGUAAGAAACCUGAAUAGCCCAUCAGAUAUAAUUCGGACAUAAAUAAUAAGCCG